CAAGUUAUUAAUUCCUGCUCUACUUUUAUAGUUACUCUUCUUUCAGUAAUUUGGGUUCCCCUUUCUCCUUACUUAACAGACCUACAAUCUUAAAAGCAAACCCAAAAGAAUUCUUCUUCACAAAAACUUUGUUGUAUGCGCUUUUGAGAAGGGGUACCGCCUUUUGAACUUAUCUACCUCUGUUGUUCGCAAACUACUCCAUGCGGGCCCCAUCGGGGAGCCUUUUAUUCUUGUGUAUGGAAAUGAGCUUAUUCUAAACAGAAAGAAUGUUUCUUACUUUGUCAACUUCUCGGGCAAUCUCACUCGAAAGAACGGGAUAUCUUGGGAUGAGGAAGUUUCUUACUUGGAAAUCAUGUCUGAAUACUGCGUCGGAGUUCUUUUGACUAGCGUAAAGAUAGUUUCAUGUGAAACUCAACUUCUCCUGCAAACUUUGGACCUCAGGGCCAUAUACUCCAUAAGUCUUUGCCGGUGGGCUAACCCUCCUCUUCUUUAUUUUGCGGCUGCUGGUUUUUUGGGCCGCGUGGAACUGAUACCAAUAGCUGAACAAAUUGAAGAGCUGGUUAAAGCUUCGAAUUUCCAAGAGGCACUUCAGUUACUUAACUCUGUCGGCAUCAAAGAUGU
Molecule: long non-coding RNA, 621 nt
Organism: Zophobas morio
Lineage: Eukaryota; Metazoa; Arthropoda; Insecta; Coleoptera; Tenebrionidae
Exons: 6
Source: RefSeq, a predicted model, not a curated record